GUUUAAUUUGUGUUGUUUAUGUCACGGAGUUAAUUACAUGCAAAUUAAAAAUUCAAUAUAUAGAAUUUGCACCUGAAACCUACUACCUAGUGGAUGGAUGUGAUUGAAUAUCUAAAAUGUUAUUAAGAAAAUUCUCUUUAUUUAUUUUUCAUUUUCAUUUUUAUUUAUUUGUACACACAGAGCUACAAACUCAUUUACGUUAAACGUAAUUAAACCUACGUCAUUUCCUCUCCCCGGUUCGCGCAUGCGUAGCCAGAGGUUUCAAAUUAUCCUGGAAAGGCGUGCUCUCGUUUCUCAAACAUUUUGUCGUCGACGUCGAGUGCGUUUAGAUGUCACGGGAGGCAAGCUAACUUGACACAAACUACCUUUUUUACGUUUAAACUGCAUAAUGAAGCAGUUUUAUGUGAUGUUCAGCCUUUUUAUGGACACUGGUGCGUUAGUUUUUUGUCGAUAAACUUUUUUUUGUAGGUAAAUUAACCUGCUACCGUGUGUUUAGUGCUGCGGUCUAGCGUUUUCUUCUCUGUAAACACUCACUAAACAGCGGAUGGAUCGUCCGGAAAAGGGGACACCCAAAAUGUGGGACGGCGAGACCGGUGGGUGAAAGGAAAAUGUGUUCAUCAGUGCCUCAAAGACAACACCGCCAAGGUUCUUCCACACUGUGUAUGAGGAGGAGUUUGGCAGGAGUCAAAGGUCAUUUUGGUCCCAUCAACUGUGGCUUUCUACCCUUAUGGCAAGAGAUGCCAUGGAGGAGAAGACGAAGACUAACACAGCAACUUUAUUUGAAGCAGAUCGCUUGUUGGACUUGUAAGUGUUUUACUGAAUUGUGCAAGUUGAUUGCUAUUAAGUUUUUCCUGACUUAGUUUUUUUUUAGUUCACUUUUUUGUACUUAGUAUAUAUUUUUUUUAGCUUUACAUUUCAUUUUUAACUUAGUUGUGUAGUGCAUUCAUUGUGUAAUUUGCUUGCUAUUGUAACAGAUUUUAAUUUUUUUAACUUAGUUUUUUUUUUUACUUAGUAUAUAUAUUUUUCAGCUUUUGUUCUUUUUUUUUUUUUGCUUUUUAUAGUGUAUUAGCCUUAUUGUUCCUUUUCUUCCUGGUUAUAUAGUGCAAUCAUUGUGUAAUUUGUAUGCUGUAUUUGAAACCUUCAAUAAAAAUAAAAAAAUUGCCUAUAUUGUGCAUUCAUUUCAAGAUAUUGAGCCAAAAAAUGAAGAAUAUGAAUGGGUUUUCUCAUUGCGCUAUAGGGCAUGCAUUGUCAAAGUCAAAGUCAAAGGCAAAGACAAAGUCAAGGGUUAUACUAG
Molecule: long non-coding RNA, 1294 nt
Organism: Cynoglossus semilaevis (tongue sole)
Lineage: Eukaryota; Metazoa; Chordata; Actinopteri; Pleuronectiformes; Cynoglossidae
Exons: 4
Source: RefSeq, a predicted model, not a curated record